Long non-coding RNA from Amphimedon queenslandica, 349 nucleotides. RefSeq lists it as uncharacterized. The transcript is spliced from 3 exons. The record is from RefSeq and is a predicted model, not a curated record. Lineage: Eukaryota; Metazoa; Porifera; Demospongiae; Haplosclerida; Niphatidae.
AAUUUAUUUGUAUUAAUUUGGUUUAGAUUAUACAAUCAUUUGUGAUGAGGAACUUGUAUUAUAUAAUGUGAAACUGCACAAGAGGAAAGGUCAUGACUAGUAUGUGGGUCAUUGAACCUUAUCGCUAUAAAGAAAAACUACUCACAGAAUUCACGUAUCUUGUACAGGUUGAUAUGGGAGGAGUACCAGCAACACUGUUUAAUAUUGUGUCAAGACGUCAGCCAUUAGCAGUUGCAUAUUUACGUGAUUAUUUAGAAACAACUAGUUUAAAUUCAAAUAGAAAUGGAAGAUCUAGAGAGUAGACCCAGUUUAUUAUCAGGUACUGAUUCACCUAGUGAUCUAACUAUGA